GAAGGCCCUUCGGGGUACUCGAGUGGCGAACGGGUGAGUAACACGUGGGUGAUCUGCCCUGCACUCUGGGAUAAGCCUGGGAAACUGGGUCUAAUACCGGGAUAGGACCACACACUUCAUGGUGAGUGGUGGAAAGCUUUUGCGGUGUGGGAUGAGCCCGCGGCCUAUCAGCUUGUUGGUGGGGUAAUGGCCCACCAAGGCGACGACGGGUAGCCGGCCUGAGAGGGUGACCGGCCACACUGGGACUGAGAUACGGCCCAGACUCCUACGGGAGGCAGCAGUGGGGAAUAUUGCACAAUGGGCGCAAGCCUGAUGCAGCGACGCCGCGUGAGGGAUGACGGCCUUCGGGUUGUAAACCUCUUUCAGUAGGGACGAAGCGAAAGUGACGGUACCUACAGAAGAAGGACCGGCCAACUACGUGCCAGCAGCCGCGGUAAUACGUAGGGUCCGAGCGUUGUCCGGAAUUACUGGGCGUAAAGAGCUCGUAGGUGGUUUGUCGCGUUGUUCGUGAAAACUCACAGCUUAACUGUGGGCGUGCGGGCGAUACGGGCAGACUAGAGUACUGCAGGGGAGACUGGAAUUCCUGGUGUAGCGGUGGAAUGCGCAGAUAUCAGGAGGAACACCGGUGGCGAAGGCGGGUCUCUGGGCAGUAACUGACGCUGAGGAGCGAAAGCGUGGGUAGCGAACAGGAUUAGAUACCCUGGUAGUCCACGCCGUAAACGGUGGGUACUAGGUGUGGGUUUCCUUCCUUGGGAUCCGUGCCGUAGCUAACGCAUUAAGUACCCCGCCUGGGGAGUACGGUCGCAAGACUAAAACUCAAAGGAAUUGACGGGGGCCCGCACAAGCGGCGGAGCAUGUGGAUUAAUUCGAUGCAACGCGAAGAACCUUACCUGGGUUUGACAUGCACAGGACGUACCUAGAGAUAGGUAUUCCCUUGUGGCCUGUGUGCAGGUGGUGCAUGGCUGUCGUCAGCUCGUGUCGUGAGAUGUUGGGUUAAGUCCCGCAACGAGCGCAACCCUUGUCCUAUGUUGCCAGCGGGUAAUGCCGGGGACUCGUAGGAGACUGCCGGGGUCAACUCGGAGGAAGGUGGGGAUGACGUCAAGUCAUCAUGCCCCUUAUGUCCAGGGCUUCACACAUGCUACAAUGGCCAGUACAGAGGGCUGCGAUGCCGCAAGGUGGAGCGAAUCCCUUAAAGCUGGUCUCAGUUCGGAUUGGGGUCUGCAACUCGACCCCAUGAAGUCGGAGUCGCUAGUAAUCGCAGAUCAGCAACGCUGCGGUGAAUACGUUCCCGGGCCUUGUACACACCGCCCGUCACGUCAUGAAAGUCGGUAACACCCGAAGCCAGUGGCCU
Molecule: ribosomal RNA, 1351 nt
Filed under: Mycobacterium sp. DWMJ-3008B1
Lineage: Bacteria; Bacillati; Actinomycetota; Actinomycetes; Mycobacteriales; Mycobacteriaceae
Description: bacterial SSU rRNA
Rfam family: Bacterial small subunit ribosomal RNA
Source: RNAcentral